This 72-nucleotide transfer RNA is filed under the name Scedosporium apiospermum. It matches the Rfam family "tRNA". Rfam says of the family: Transfer RNA (tRNA) molecules are approximately 80 nucleotides in length. Lineage: Eukaryota; Fungi; Ascomycota; Sordariomycetes; Microascales; Microascaceae. The record is from Rfam by way of RNAcentral.
AAGAUUUUAGUAUAAUAGUAAUAUAAAUAACUUUUAAUUAUUAAGAUAUAGGUUUAAAUCCUAUAAAUCUUA